Myotis daubentonii (Daubenton's bat) is the source of this 274-nucleotide long non-coding RNA. RefSeq lists it as uncharacterized. NCBI's taxonomy places the organism in Eukaryota, Metazoa, Chordata, Mammalia, Chiroptera, Vespertilionidae. The record is from RefSeq and is a predicted model, not a curated record.
UAGAAACAUUGACAAGAGAGAAACAUCAUCUAUCAGCUGCUUGCAACACAGGCAUGUGCCCUGACCGGGAAUCGAACCGGUGACCUCUUGGUUUGUGGAUUGAUGCUCAACCACUGAACCAUACAGGCCAGGCUGAAGUCAAGGUUUUAAUAAGAAAGCAAAAUGGGGAGAAAUUAGUGUGACUUGACAAGAUGUUCUCUGAAGUUAGCUCUUAGGAGAGACUGAAAUAGCAAGAGCAUAUUACAAGGACAAGUAAGGGGAUGGCAUAAAACUG